AAAAAAGGUAAGCUACUAAGAGCGAAUGGUGGAUGCCUUGACUGGUAAAGGCGAUGAAGGACGUACUAGACUGCGAUAAGCUACGGGGAGCUGUCAAGAAGCUUUGAUCCGUAGAUUUCCGAAUGGGGCAACCCAAUGUAUAGAGAUAUACAUUACCUAUAUAGGAGCGAACGAGGGGAAUUGAAACAUCUUAGUACCCUCAGGAAAAGAAAUCAAUAGAGAUUGCGUCAGUAGCGGCGAGCGAAAGCGCAAGAGGGCAAACCCAGUGCUUGCACUGGGGGUUGUAGGACUGCAAUGUGCAAGAGGUAAGUUUAGCAGAACAUUCUGGAAAGUAUAACCAUAGAGGGUGAUAGUCCCGUAUGCGAAAAACAAACCUUAGCUAGCAGUAUCCUGAGUAGGGCGGGACACGAGGAAUCCUGUCUGAAUCCGGGUCGACCACGAUCCAACCCUAAAUACUAAUACCAGAUCGAUAGUGCACAAGUACCGUGAGGGAAAGGUGAAAAGAACUGAGGUGAUCAGAGUGAAAUAGAACCUGAAACCAUUUGCUUACAAUCAUUCAGAGCCCUAUGUAGCAAUACAGGGUGAUGGACUGCCUUUUGCAUAAUGAGCCUGCGAGUUGUGGUGUCUGGCAAGGUUAAGCAAACGCGAAGCCGUAGCGAAAGCGAGUCUGAAUAGGGCGCUUAGUCAGAUGCUGCAGACCCGAAACGAAGUGAUCUAUCCAUGAGCAAGUUGAAGCUAGUGUAAGAACUAGUGGAGGACUGAACCCAUAGGCGUUGAAAAGCCCCGGGAUGACUUGUGGAUAGGGGUGAAAGGCCAAUCAAACUUCGUGAUAGCUGGUUCUCUCCGAAAUAUAUUUAGGUAUAGCGUUGUGUCGUAAUAUAAGGGGGUAGAGCACUGAAUGGGCUAGGGCAUACACCAAUGUACCAAACCCUAUCAAACUCCGAAUACCUUAUAUGUAAUCACAGCAGUCAGGCGGCGAGUGAUAAAAUCCGUCGUCAAGAGGGAAACAACCCAGACUACCAGCUAAGGUCCCUAAAUCUUACUUAAGUGGAAAACGAUGUGAAGUUACUUAAACAACCAGGAGGUUGGCUUAGAAGCAGCCAUCCUUUAAAGAAAGCGUAAUAGCUCACUGGUCUAGUGAUUUUGCGCGGAAAAUAUAACGGGGCUAAAGUAAGUACCGAAGCUGUAGAUUUGCACACAACUUAGAUUAUUUAAAUUUAAAAUAUGAGAAGCUAAAUUUAUUUUUAUUUAUUUUUGCUUAUCUUUAUUCAUUUUUAUAGAGUAAAGAUAAAAACAAAAACUUCGUAAAAACAAUAAAAUAUAGUAAAAAACAAUAAAAAUAUUCUUAGACUAAAGUUAAGUAGUUUAAGUUGUGUGCAAGUGGUAGGAGAGCGUUCUAUUUGCGUCGAAGGUAUACCGGUAAGGAGUGCUGGAGCGAAUAGAAGUGAGCAUGCAGGCAUGAGUAGCGAUAAUUAAUGUGAGAAUCAUUAACGCCGUAAACCCAAGGUUUCCUACGCGAUGCUCGUCAUCGUAGGGUUAGUCGGGUCCUAAGUCGAGUCCGAAAGGGGUAGACGAUGGCAAAUUGGUUAAUAUUCCAAUACCAACAUUAGUGUGCGAUGGAAGGACGCUUAGGGCUAAGGGGGCUAGCGGAUGGAAGUGCUAGUCUAAGGUCGUAGGAGGUUGUACAGGCAAAUCCGUAUAACAAUACUCCGAGAACUGAAAGGCUUUUUGAAGUCUUCGGAUGGAUAGAAGAACCCCUGAUGCCGUCGAGCCAAGAAAAGUUUCUAAGUUUAGCUAAUGUUGCCCGUACCGUAAACCGACACAGGUGGGUGGGAUGAGUAUUCUAAGGCGCGUGGAAGAACUCUCUUUAAGGAACUCUGCAAAAUAGCACCGUAUCUUCGGUAUAAGGUGUGGUUAGCUUUGUAUUAGGAUUUACUCCGAAAGCGAAGAAACUUACAACAAAGAGUCCCUCCCGACUGUUUACCAAAAACACAGCACUCUGCUAACUCGUAAGAGGAUGUAUAGGGUGUGACGCCUGCCCGGUGCUCGAAGGUUAAUUGAUGGGGUUAGCAUUAGCGAAGCUCUUGAUCGAAGCCCGAGUAAACGGCGGCCGUAACUAUAACGGUCCUAAGGUAGCGAAAUUCCUUGUCGGUUAAAUACCGACCUGCAUGAAUGGCGUAACGAGAUGGGAGCUGUCUCAAAGAGGGAUCCAGUGAAAUUGUAGUGGAGGUGAAAAUUCCUCCUACCCGCGGCAAGACGGAAAGACCCCGUGGACCUUUACUACAGCUUGACACUGCUACUUGGAUAAGAAUGUGCAGGAUAGGUGGGAGGCUUUGAGUAUAUGACGCCAGUUGUAUAUGAGCCAUUGUUGAGAUACCACUCUUUCUUAUUUGGGUAGCUAACCAGCUUGAGUUAUCCUCAAGUGGGACAAUGUCUGGUGGGUAGUUUGACUGGGGCGGUCGCCUCCCAAAUAAUAACGGAGGCUUACAAAGGUUGGCUCAGAACGGUUGGAAAUCGUUCGUAGAGUAUAAAGGUAUAAGCCAGCUUAACUGCAAGACAUACAAGUCAAGCAGAGACGAAAGUCGGUCUUAGUGAUCCGGUGGUUCUGUGUGGAAGGGCCAUCGCUCAAAGGAUAAAAGGUACCCCGGGGAUAACAGGCUGAUCUCCCCCAAGAGCUCACAUCGACGGGGAGGUUUGGCACCUCGAUGUCGGCUCAUCGCAUCCUGGGGCUGGAGCAGGUCCCAAGGGUAUGGCUGUUCGCCAUUUAAAGCGGUACGCGAGCUGGGUUCAGAACGUCGUGAGACAGUUCGGUCCCUAUCUGCCGUGGGCGUAAGAAGAUUGAAGAGAUUUGACCCUAGUACGAGAGGACCGGGUUGAACAAACCACUGGUGUAGCUGUUGUUCUGCCAAGAGCAUCGCAGCGUAGCUAAGUUUGGAAAGGAUAAACGCUGAAAGCAUCUAAGCGUGAAGCCAACUCUAAGAUGAAUCUUCUCUAAGCUCUCUAGAAGACUACUAGUUUGAUAGGCUGGGUGUGUAAUGGAUGAAAGUCCUUUAGCUGACCAGUACUAAUAGAGCGUUUGGCUUAUCUUUAAUAAAGCAU
Molecule: ribosomal RNA, 3099 nt
Filed under: Campylobacter jejuni
Lineage: Bacteria; Pseudomonadati; Campylobacterota; Epsilonproteobacteria; Campylobacterales; Campylobacteraceae
Description: 23S ribosomal RNA
Rfam family: Bacterial large subunit ribosomal RNA
Source: RNAcentral